UGAAGUCGUAACAAGGUAACCGUAGGGUAACCUGCUGUUGGAUCACCUCCUUACCUGAAAGAA
RNAcentral lists this ribosomal RNA (63 nucleotides) under Klebsiella oxytoca. RNAcentral's name for it is "partial 16S ribosomal RNA". The record is from RNAcentral. Lineage: Bacteria; Pseudomonadati; Pseudomonadota; Gammaproteobacteria; Enterobacterales; Enterobacteriaceae.